CGUCCACCGCCAUCCUGGCCCCAUGAAGGAAGCAUUGACCUUAGUAAUGUGAGCUUCAGGUACAGCUCAGACGGGCCUCUGGUACUGAUGGACCUGACAUCAUGGAUUCCCCGAAGAAGCAAGGUUGGCAUUGUGGGAAGAACAGGAGCUGGAAAAAGUUCUCUCGUCUCGGCCCUUUUCAGAUUGUCGGAACCCAAUGGUAUAAUUCGGAUUGAUGGGAUCUGGACACACAACAUUGGACUUCACGAUUUAAGGAAGAAAAUGACAGUCGUACCUCAGGUGUGCAUCACAGAGCAUUCUCUCGUGGUCUUUUCAUAAGGCACCUAAGUUUAAUUGCUUUUAAUUUGAUUGUUGUUUUUUCAAAUUGCAUGAAGCCGUUGAUCUUUUCCCUCCCAAUAGAGCACGUUUUUAGCAGCAGAUAUUUUCAACAGUUAUUUUCAUCCAAUAUAAAGUUUUGUUUGUUCAUUCAUUUGUAUGUGAUUUGUUUGAUAACUUACCCAGAUGGAUAUCUGGACUCUUCCACUGAUAGCCGUAUCAUUCUGAGGAAAAAAAAUAUAAAUGGUUCGUUUAGCACUGGAGAGGUUCCUACAGGGAAACACGAAUUUUAAGUGUCUUAAUGAUGAAUCUUUGCUAUAGGAACUAAAGCCACCCUUUCAAAAGUGAUCAUCUCCCAGGAGGGCUUUCUGUGCUCCUGUGGGGCUCUGAGAAUUAGAGAGUGUGUGGGUGCUUUGGGGAGACAUUGAGAAUUCAGCCAUUCAUCAGCGAGUAGAACCAGGGAGGCCGUAGAGAAGAGUGAGGAGGAGCACGGGACUCGGAUCCCAUCUCUGUGCUCCUCAGGCUUCUCCCCCUCACAGGGCAGCUCGCAGUACCACCCCCUGGAGCUGUUGUGAGGACUGAACAGGUCCGUGCGUGUGGAGAGCUUCCUGCAGACCCCAUGCCUGGUUGCUGUGACGGUGGAGCCUUGACGUGACCCUCUCUUCCUGGGCUCUGGUUCUGUUUUCUUUUCUUCCGCUUCUUUAAAAUGUAUGUUGUUCGGGGAGUGUUUGGAGAUUGGAUUAUAUGCACAGCAGACGUUCCUGUCAUUCCUUUUGGUUCAUCCACCCAAAUAAUUCAGACUAUUGAUUGAGCAAUUACUAGUCUCUCAUAAAAUAGUCAAGGGCAACAUAGGCUCUGUGCCCACAUCUUCCAUCCUGCCCUCUAUCAGACUUGCUGUUUUUCUUUAUUUUUUUUUUAUUUUGAGGGGUAUAUAUAUAUAUUCUAGAAUAUAUAUAUAUUCUAACCUCUUGAGAUGAGAAACACAGGGAAGAGUCAAGACAAAAGGCUCAGGCAGACGUGCUUCCUGGAGUGCGGGUACAGUGAGCUCUGAAGUGCCUCUUUAGGAGGAAGCAUGUAGAACGUGGCACCAAAGGAAGGAGAACAUGGACAUGUGUCCUGUGAUAGCACAGCUACUGCCACCCGCCCCUGACCUCUGAAAUACCUGGAAGUAGUAGAAGUACUUUUGAAAUCAAGAUCUUUCUUUGAGACCACAGUGAGACACCACCUCGCACUCCUUAUGAUGGUCAUUCUCAAUAAAAUAAGAUAAAAUAAGUGUUGAUGAGCAUGUCAGGAAAUCAGAAUCCUGGGAGUUCCCGUGUGGCUCAAUGAAAAUGAAUCUGACUAGUAUCCAUGAGGAUGCAGGUUUGAUCCCUGGCCUCGUUUAAUGGGUUGGCUGUCACAAUGAACUAAGGUAUAGGUUGCAGACGGAUCUCGGAUCCGAAGUUGCUGUGGCUGUGGUGUAGGCCAGCAGCUGUAGCUCAGAUUCAACCCCAAGCCUGGGAACCUCCAUAUGCUGUGGGUGUGGCCCUUUAAAAAAAAGAGAGAAGAAAAAAAAGGAAUCAGAAUCUUUGUGCCUUGCUGGUAGGAAUGUAAAAUGGUGCAGCCACUGUGGCAAACAAGAUGGAGGUUCCUCAAAAAAGUUAAAAAUAUAGUUAUUAUAUGAUCCAGCAAUUCUGCUUUGGGGUAUAGACUCAAAAGAAUUGAAAGCAGGGUUUUUAAGAGAUACCUGGAUAUGCAUGUUUGUAGCAGCAUUAUUCACUGUAGCAAAAAGGUGAAGACAGUCUGUGGUGCAGGAGUUCCCUAGUAGGAUUUCCUGUUGUGGCUCAGUGGUUAACAAAGCCGACUAGCAUCCGUGAGCACGGGUUUGAUCCCUGGCCUCGCUCACUUGGUUAAGGAUCUGGCAUUGCUGUGGCUGUGGUGUAGGCCAGCGGCUACAGCUCCAAUUCGAACUCUAGCCUGGGAACCUCCAUAUGCCUUGGGUGUGGCCCAAAAAA
RNAcentral lists this long non-coding RNA (2309 nucleotides) under Sus scrofa (pig). Its description in RNAcentral is "lncRNA (ENSSSCG00035062754.1)". Lineage: Eukaryota; Metazoa; Chordata; Mammalia; Artiodactyla; Suidae. The record is from RNAcentral.